This 254-nucleotide ribosomal RNA is filed under the name uncultured bacterium. RNAcentral's name for it is "partial 16S ribosomal RNA". It matches the Rfam family "Bacterial small subunit ribosomal RNA", at positions 524 to 776 of the family's 1533-position model. The record is from RNAcentral.
AACGUAGGACGCAAGCGUUAUCCGGAGUUACUGGGCGUAAAGGGCAGGCAGGCGGUAUGCUAAGUUGGGUGUGAAAUCUCCCAGGCUUAACCGGGAGGGCGCAUCUGAGACUGGCAAACUGGAGGGCAGCAGAGGAGCGUGGAAUUCCGGGUGGAGUGGUGAAAUGCGUAGAGAUCCGGAGGAACACCAGAGGCGAAGGCGGCGCUCUGGGCUGCACCUGACGCUGAACUGCGAAAGCCAGGGGAGCGAACGGG